ACUCCUGCGGGAGGCAGCAGUGGGGAAUAUUGCACAAUGGGCGCAAGCCUGAUGCAGCCAUGCCGCGUGUAUGAAGAAGGCCUUCGGGUUGUAAAGUACUUUCAGCGGGGAGGAAGGCGAUAAGGUUAAUAACCUUGUCGAUUGACGUUACCCGCAGAAGAAGCACCGGCUAACUCCGUGCCAGCAGCCGCGGUAAUACGGAGGGUGCAAGCGUUAAUCGGAAUUACUGGGCGUAAAGCGCACGCAGGCGGUCUGUCAAGUCGGAUGUGAAAUCCCCGGGCUCAACCUGGGAACUGCAUUCGAAACUGGCAGGCUAGAGUCUUGUAGAGGGGGGUAGAAUUCCAGGUGUAGCGGUGAAAUGCGUAGAGAUCUGGAGGAAUACCGGUGGCGAAGGCGGCCCCCUGGACAAAGACUGACGCUCAGGUGCGAAAGCGUGGGGAGCAAACAGGAUUAGAAACCCUAGUAGUCCCA
This 471-nucleotide ribosomal RNA is filed under the name uncultured organism. RNAcentral's name for it is "partial 16S ribosomal RNA". It matches the Rfam family "Bacterial small subunit ribosomal RNA", at positions 335 to 797 of the family's 1533-position model. The record is from RNAcentral.